UCUCAACAAGCUCAAGCAACUCAGCAUCAUCAACAUGUCCGCCUUGUUCAAGUACACCAAAAUAAAUGGCACACCACCUGACGAGCCAACAAAAUGUGCUCUCUGGUCUGCGGCAUCGGACCAUCAGCCGCCGAUACCACCAAAAUCGCUCCGUCCAUCUGAGCCGCACCGUAAUCAUGUUCUUCACAUAAUCCGCGUGU
This 200-nucleotide ribosomal RNA is filed under the name uncultured eukaryote. Its description in RNAcentral is "partial 18S ribosomal RNA". The record is from RNAcentral.